Non-coding RNA from Penaeus vannamei (Pacific white shrimp), 72 nucleotides. The record is from the annotation of a RefSeq genome assembly. NCBI's taxonomy places the organism in Eukaryota, Metazoa, Arthropoda, Malacostraca, Decapoda, Penaeidae.
UCCAGUGUGGUCUAGUGGUUAGGAUACGUGGCUUUCAGCCGCAAGUCCCGGGUUCGAUUCCCGGCACAGGAA